GGCCCCAUCGUCUAGUGGUUAGGACAUAGCCCUUUCACGGCUGUAACAGGGGUUCAAAUCCCCUUGGGGUCACUA
RNAcentral lists this transfer RNA (75 nucleotides) under Ignavibacteriales bacterium. RNAcentral's name for it is "tRNA-Glu". It matches the Rfam family "tRNA". From Rfam's summary of the family: Transfer RNA (tRNA) molecules are approximately 80 nucleotides in length. Their secondary structure includes four short double-helical elements and three loops (D, anti-codon, and T loops). Lineage: Bacteria; Pseudomonadati; Ignavibacteriota; Ignavibacteria; Ignavibacteriales. The record is from RNAcentral.